This 848-nucleotide ribosomal RNA is filed under the name uncultured Gammaproteobacteria bacterium. Its description in RNAcentral is "bacterial SSU rRNA". It matches the Rfam family "Bacterial small subunit ribosomal RNA", at positions 56 to 939 of the family's 1533-position model. Lineage: Bacteria; Pseudomonadati; Pseudomonadota; Gammaproteobacteria. The record is from RNAcentral.
UGCAGUCGAACGUGAAAGCACUUCGGUGUGAGUAGAGUGGCGGACGGGUGAGUAACGCGUGGGAAUCUGCCCAGUAGUGGGGGACAACUACCGGAAACGGUAGCUAAUACCGCAUACGCCCUAUGGGGGAAAGGCUUCGGCCGCUAUUGGAUGAGCCCGCGUCAGAUUAGCUAGUUGGUAGGGUAAAGGCCUACCAAGGCAACGAUCUGUAGCUGGUCUGAGAGGACGAACAGCCACACUGGGACUGAGACACGGCCCAGACUCCUACGGGAGGCAGCAGUGGGGAAUAUUGGACAAUGGGCGAAAGCCUGAUCCAGCAAUGCCGCGUGUGUGAAGAAGGCCUGCGGGUUGUAAAGCACUUUCAGUUGGGAAGAUGAUGACGUUACCAACAGAAGAAGCACCGGCUAAAUCCGUUCCAGCAGCCGCGGUAAUACGGAUGGUGCGAGCGUUAAUCGGAAUUACUGGGCGUAAAGCGCGCGUAGGCGGCUAAGUCAGUCAGAAGUGAAAGCCCCGGGCUCAACCUGGGAAUUGCUUUUGAUACUGCUUGGCUAGAGUUUGGUAGAGGAUAGUGGAAUUCCAGGUGUAGCGGUGAAAUGCGAAGAUAUCUGGAGGAACAUCAGUGGCGAAGGCGACUGUCUGGACCAAAACUGACGCUGAGGUGCGAAAGCGUGGGUAGCAAACAGGAUUAGAUACCCUGGUAGUCCACGCCGUAAACGAUGUCAACUAGCCGUCGGGUCUAUUUACAGACUUGGUGGCGCAGCUAACGCGAUAAGUUGACCGCCUGGGGAGUACGGCCGCAAGGUUAAAACUCAAAGGAAUUGACGGGGGCCCGCACAAGCGGUGGAGCA